RNAcentral lists this ribosomal RNA (490 nucleotides) under uncultured bacterium. RNAcentral's name for it is "bacterial SSU rRNA". It matches the Rfam family "Bacterial small subunit ribosomal RNA", at positions 384 to 876 of the family's 1533-position model. The record is from RNAcentral.
UGACGCAGCGACGCCGCGUGGAGGAUGAAGGCCUUCGGGUUGUAAACUCUUGUCAGAGGAGAAGAAAGCCUGAGUAAUCAGGCUUGACGGUAUCCUCAGAGGAAGCCCCGGCUAACUACGUGCCAGCAGCCGCGGUAACACGUAGGGGGCGAACGUUGCUCGGAAUUACUGGGCGUAAAGGGUGUGUAGGCGGCUGAGCAAGUCAAAGAUGAAAUCCCGAGGCUCAACUUCGGAAUUGUCUUUGAAACUGUUCAGCUUGAGGAUAGUUGAGGAGAACGGAAUUCCCGGUGGAGCGGUGAAAUGCGUAGAUAUCGGGAGGAACACCGGAGGCGAAGGCGGUUUUCUGGGCUAUUCCUGACGCUGAGGCACGAAAGCUAGGGGAGCAAACGGGAUUAGAUACCCCGGUAGUCCUAGCCGUAAACGAUGGGCACUAGAUGUUUUCGCUUUUAUGCGGGAGUGUCAAAGCUAACGCGUUAAGUGCCCCGCCUGG